GCCGGGGCGGUGCAGGCGCACGGAGCGCCAGGGCCCCGCCCCGCCACCGGCUCCGCGCCGCGGGCAGAGCCCGCCCGGCCCGGCUCGGCCCUCCCCUCCCAUCCCCUGCCCUCUCCUUCCCUCCCCUGCCUUGCCCGGCCCGGCCGCGGGGCGGAGCUCGGCCCCCCAGUGCAGGUGCGGGGCUGCGGCAGCCCCUGGCCCUGAGCCCCAGGUGGGCGGCCCGGCGGUCCGAGCUCGGGGCGUCCUCUCGUAAGGGGCGUGAGGGAGGAGCCCGCCGGAACACAGACUACUUGGUUGGGAAGAGCCUAUUCGUGGAUUGUUUUUCCCUGCCCCGCAGGGUUUGGCAUUAGGCUGUUGGUAACAGCGUGCGUCCCCGAGGUCCCCGACAGGGCUAGGGCGUUCUGUGCUCUUCGGGAUGUUUUUGUGGACGCAAGUGGUUGUGGGAUUGUCCUCAGGGAAUAGCAGCAACCUGCCUGUGGGGCUGAGGAGUGCAACCCAAAACUGCGUCGGAGGGACGAAGACAUGCUAUCAGGAGAGACCUAAUUUACCUUUUUUUUUUUUUUUUUACAUUAUUUGAGAAAAGGCAGUUACACCAGCAGGAGAUCUGGGACAGCUUUGCAUCUUUACUAGGGACUGCCAGUGAAUCUUCAGCAGGUGGAAGCUUCCCUGGAACUGGCCUUUGCCCCACGAGGCGGUCGCAGGAGCUGGCAGGUUACCAUUUGCUUUUUUAAAACAACCAGUAGCGAGUACAGAAAUUGAAGAGGCGCGUUACUUUUAAGAUCAGACGGCUAAUUGGCACGUGAAGGGUGCAUAUUGACCGUCCUGCUUCUAGAGCUUUACAAGUUGAACUGUCCCGCUCCUCAGUCCUCGCAGCCACGCCGCGCCUGGGCUGUUGCGUAUGUCGUGUUGCUGCUGCUUUAUGAACACGGAGCAGCUGCUCAUCUCGAUCUGUAUCACAAGAGGGCGCUCACCUAAAGCGAAAAGCGCAGGGUUGUGCGUGAAUUCCCUUUUUUUCCUUCUGUUUUUCCUACUCCAAUAUUUUGACAUGGUGCUCAGAUACGUACUAUGAACAGAUGACAAAGUAUGCUCUGUGGGUUAGAAGGAUAGAGACAGAAGCGUUAGCACGAGGAAAAUGAUCCAACUUAUUUGUGUUAUGUAAUUGUUAGCAAUUUUAAUCCAUGUGGCUAAUUGAAGAGCAUUAGCUACUCGGAAUUAAAAUGAAUGGUUUGUUAAUAACUAUGACGGUGAUGUGUAUUUUGUUUAAUUAUGAGCUGUCGUAGUGUUUGAACUCUGCACUAGUGAAGAGUGAGGCAACGUAAAGGCUUUGUUAGAUCAAGACCUAUGAGCAAGUUACAGAAUUCUCAUUGCAUCAGGAGAAGAAAACUACCAGUUAACUGCAUUUAGAAGUACAGUAAUGUGUAGAUGAGCUCAUAAACCAAGAGAAAUAUUUUUUUUUAUUCUUUACUGUGAGGCGGGUGAGGCAUUGGAACAGGUUGCCCAGAGAAGUUGUGGAUGCCCCAUCCGUGGAGAUGUUGAAGGCCAGGUUGGAUGGAGUUUUGAGCAGCCUGGUCUUGUGGGAGGUGUCCCUGUCCAUAGCAGGGGGAUUGGAAGGUCCCUUCCAACACAGGCCAUCCUAUUAUUCUAUGAAAAAUAACUAAUGAGUUAUUUCUUGUUUAGUUUUAUCAGAAGAAAGAACUCUCGAAGUUUUUAGAAGCCCUUGAAUGAACUGUUUAAUGGAAUGUUGUUGAAACAGUCACAACUCACUCGUAGCUAAAGGGAGAUGCACUAUUAGCAGUCUGCUGAGAAAAAUGUGAAAAUUCUCCCAUUUUAGUCUGAUCUUUUUGUUUGCUUCAUACAGAAAUUAACAUCCAUAGAAUUUUCUAUACAGAAAAUUACAUCCAGUUGCUGUAACAUUCAUAAAUAUGUUUACUAGGCACAAAAUGGCUAUUCAUCUGGAGUCAUAGGUGAUUGGAUAAGUUCACUUUUAAUUAAAAGGAAUGGAAACAGAAAUGCAAGUGUGAACAGAUUUUAUCAAAUGUUACAGAUAUUAGUAGUUACCUAAGUAAAUGACAUAGCUUAGUUCCAAAGUCCACUGGCUGACAGGUAAUGUAAGACAAAACAAACACAAGUCCAGCAUUUCAGUAAGGUUUUAUUUUGUCAUAACCAAGCAAAGUGAUUUUCUUUCUGUGAUCCAGGUUAUGCACAGAAUGAGUCCUUACACCAUGCAUAAUUAUGAGAAUACUGAAUAAUUAAUAUAUACGGUUACUAUUUUAAGCUGAGAACUCAUUUGCUCCUGGUAUAACCCAGAAUCCCAGUUCUUUGCAAAUACUUCAGGUGUACAUCUUUCUCCCAUAUUUCACUGAAAUCUGAGGAAAAUCCCUCUUCUAUAGAGAGGUGUGGAACAAGGCAUCCAGGUCAAAAUCUGAUGCAGUGUGUGGGGUUAUAGUUGUAUUCUCUUUCUUCCAGUCAAGAUCGCAUUGUUGUUGUGGGAACAUGAAAAUAAUGACAAUGUGUCCAAUGUAUUCAUACUGUUUUCA
Molecule: long non-coding RNA, 2537 nt
Organism: Pseudopipra pipra
Lineage: Eukaryota; Metazoa; Chordata; Aves; Passeriformes; Pipridae
Exons: 3
Source: RefSeq, a predicted model, not a curated record